RNAcentral lists this ribosomal RNA (406 nucleotides) under uncultured bacterium. RNAcentral describes it as "partial 16S ribosomal RNA". It matches the Rfam family "Bacterial small subunit ribosomal RNA", at positions 29 to 526 of the family's 1533-position model. The record is from RNAcentral.
AUUGAACGCUGGCGGCAGGCCUAACACAUGCAAGUCGAACGAGUGGCGGACGGGUGAGUAAUGUCUGGGAAACUGCCCGAUGGAGGGGGAUAACUACUGGAAACGGUAGCUAAUACCGCAUACCAUCGGAUGUGCCCAGAUGGGAUUAGCUAGUGGGUGGGGUAACGGCUCACCUAGGCGACGAUCCCUAGCUGGUCUGAGAGGAUGACCAGCAACACUGGAACUGGGCAACGGUCAGGACUCCUACGGAGGGCGGAGGUGGGGAUAUUGGCAAAAUGGGGGCAGGCCUGAUGCGGCAAUGCCGGGUGUAUAAGUAAGGCUUUGGGGUGUAAAGGUACUUUCAGCGAGGAGGCGUUACUCGCAGAGAAAGCAACGGCUAACGCCGUGCCAGAAGCCGCGGUAAUAC